This 117-nucleotide small RNA is filed under the name Pongo abelii (Sumatran orangutan). Its description in RNAcentral is "Metazoan signal recognition particle RNA (ENSPPYG00000041386.1)". It matches the Rfam family "Metazoan signal recognition particle RNA". From Rfam's summary of the family: The signal recognition particle (SRP) is a universally conserved ribonucleoprotein. It is involved in the co-translational targeting of proteins to membranes. The record is from Rfam by way of RNAcentral. Lineage: Eukaryota; Metazoa; Chordata; Mammalia; Primates; Hominidae.
GCCAGGCGUGGUGGCUCACGCCUGUAAUCCCAGCACUUUAGGAGGCUGAGGCGGGUGGAUCACCUGAGGUCAGGAGUUCAAGACCAGCCUGGCCAACAUGGUGAAACCCCGUCUCUA